UACGUAGGGUGCGAGCGUUGUCCGGAAUUAUUGGGCGUAAAGGGCUCGUAGGCGGUUUGUCGCGUCGGGAGUGAAAACACCGGGCUUAACUCGGUGCUUGCUUUCGAUACGGGCAGACUAGAGGUAUGCAGGGGAGAGCGGAAUUCCUGGUGUAGCGGUGAAAUGCGCAGAUAUCAGGAGGAACACCGGUGGCGAAGGCGGUUCUCUGGGCAUUACCUGACGCUGAGGAGCGAAAGUGUGGGGAGCGAACAGG
Molecule: ribosomal RNA, 253 nt
Filed under: uncultured bacterium
Lineage: Bacteria
Description: partial 16S ribosomal RNA
Rfam family: Bacterial small subunit ribosomal RNA
Source: RNAcentral